GAACCUGCUGAGAAAGAGAUUGGUCCAGAGAUUCAAACUCUUAUUUCUGAGCAAGUAAUGGUGGUUUUCCCACUCCCUAAUGCUGGAGCAGGUCGUGGACGUGCUCCGGCUAACUCCCAGGCAAAGGCUGAGGGCUUUAGUGACCUGAAUAACAACUCUCCUAAAUGGAAUCAAGUUCCAGUCAAGAAGAGGUCUGGAGCCAAAGGCUACACUAGUGGAACGGGUAUAGCUCCUACUGGGGUAAGGUCUAUUAGGCCUAAUUCGGGUAAGAUCAAAGAGGGAGUCUCUUUUAAGGAUGCAGCUAGAGGCGGUAUAACAAUUGGGCAGCGUAAUGAGAAUGUUGCUGGAGCCGGCCGUUUUGACCCUGAAACUCACUCUCAAGAUUUGGUGAGUGGCUUUUCUGUGUUGGGAGAGCCAAGUUCUGUCCAUUCUUUUUCUUCUUUAACUGAUAUUGUUCAUCUUAUGCAUUCUUCCUGUCUGAAUAAUCUCUUCCCCCUUCCUAUGGACCCAAAUUCUAUCUAUUCUCCUUCCUCCACGGUUGACUUUUUUAAUCAUUUUUAUGGACUUAUUCAUCACUCUCAAGAGAACUUUGAGGAUGUCUAUGAGGAGGACCAGAUGAUAAAUAACAAUGUUAUGGAUGGUGAUUAUGAUGCUAAUGGUAUGUUUGGUGUUGUGAAUGAGAAUGAUGAAAUGGAUGUGAGUGCUAGGUUUCGCAGCUCAUUAAAGAGAACCAGAGAGAUGAUCGAAGAUGAAGUGGAUUCUCAUCAGGCUAGGACCAUGGAGGUUGGCCCCUCCAAGAUGACAAACUUCUCUACUCCAAAAUGAAGAUGAUGAUUUGGAAUAGCCGGGGGAGUUCCCGAUCUGGAUUUCAGGCAUAGUUGCUCUAUUAUGCUUCUACUUUUGGUUUAGAUGUUUUUUGUGUUGUCGAUACAAGGACUUCAGAUGAUCUAGGAGCAAAACUGUUAAAUUUAUUACUUUUUGAUAACUAUUUUGUAGUGCCUGCGUAAGGCCAGUGUGGUGGCCUUUGCCUGUUUUGGAAAUCCAGUUUUAUUAAUAUGAAUGUUGUGUUUGCUCAUUAUCAGUUCAUUCACUGUUAUAUUACUGAUAUUAGUAGAAAUACUAGCUGCUUCUCUACCUUUGUUUAUGCUUACCCUCAUAAGCGUCUUCAACUGAAUCUUUGGAAGGAAAUCUCCAAGUGGAAACCUUCUAAUGAUGGUCCUUGGUUACUCAUGAGAGAUUUCAAUUGCAUUACGCACAAUUCAGAAAACUUAGGUGGUUCUGUGGACACUAACAGAUACAUGACUAAUUUUGGUGAUUUUCUAAAUAGCAAUAAUCUUUGCACAAUCCCUAGUACAGGAGUUCAUUUUACUUGGACUAACAACUAUAAAGACCAUUCUGUCAUUUAUGAAAAAUUGGAUAGGGCUUGUGCUAAUCCUAACUGGAUGAUUAGUUUCCCUGAUGUGGAGGUUGAAAAUCUCUCUAUUAUUGGCUCUGAUCAUGGUCCAAUUUAUGUUGCUUGGAAUCAUAGGAAUGUGUCCUACCAAAGAGCUUUUAAGUUUGAAGCUAUUUGGAUGUCUCAUGCUUCGUUCAAAAAGCUUGUCACGGAUUCUUGGCAAGUAGUAUUGGAUUCCAACUCUAUGAGAAAUUUUACAUCUCUGUGUGGCAAAUUUGCUACUUUGGCUAAAGUUUGGAAAAAAGAGGUGUUUGGUAAUUUUUUUCCAAAAAAUCAUUGACUUACAGGAUCAAUUGCAUGUUGUCCAGUAUCAGCUUAUGAAUAACCCCUCUUCAGUUUUGUUACAGGAAAGGAACUUAAGUAUAUCUCAUAGACCUCCAAACUCUGCAACAAGAGGAAGAGCUUUUCUGGGCUCAAAGAGCUAAGGCAAAUUGGCUAAAAACUAGGGGAUCAAAACACAAAGUAUUUUCAACUGAAGGCAAAUUUCAGGAAGAGGUUAAAUCAUAUUGCCCGAAUUAAAGACGACAACAAUUUUUGGUUAACAAACCCAAAGGAUAUCAGCAAGCACUUUGUGCAGGAUUUUAAUAAAUGUUUUAUUGUUAAUAACUUCCUUGAUAUGAAUUUUAUGCAAAGUUUUAUUAAUAUUAUCUCUCCCACUAUUUUGGAUGUAGAAAAUGAUUUGUUGACAAAACAGGUUUCUGAUGAGGAAAUUUGGGAUGCAAUCAAAACUAUCGGACCUCUAAAGGCUCCAGGUCCUGAUGGCUUACAUGCUCUCUUUUACCAAGCUUAAUGGGAAGAUGUCAAGCAUGCUGUAAGUUCUAUGAUCAAGGAUUUUUUCCAAAAUAAUACAAAUAUUGCUCUGAUUCCCAAAGUUGAUUCCCCUAAUUUGGUUUCUCAUUAUAGGCUUAUUAGUUUAUGUAAUGUUAGUUAUAAAAUAAUCUCAAAAAUUUUAGUCAACAGUCUCAGACCUCUUUUGGAUAAGUGUAUUUCUAGGAAUCAAGGUGCUUUCUCCCCGGGAAGAUCUAUUCAUGAUAAUAUCUUUAUUGCUCAUGAACUGUUUUCCGAUUUUCAAAGGAAAAAAGGUAGAGUUGGUUCCAUGGCUAUUAAGUUGGAUUUAGAAAAAGCUUAUGACUAUCUCAAUUGGAAAUAUAUUGAGACUUGUCUUUCUAAAUUUGGUUUUUCCCCUGUUUGGAUUAAAUGGAUUAUGGAAUGCAUUACAUCUGUGUCUUUCUCGGUGUUGAUUAAUGGCAAGCCUGAGGGUUUUUUCCAUCCUACUCGUGUGAUUAGACAAGGUGAUCCUCUUUCGCCAUAUAUUUUUAUUCUAUGUAUGGAACCACUAAUUAGACAUCUAAAUAUGGUCGCGGAAAAGCCAAGUAGUCAUGUGGGAAUUUUAUCUUCUUCUAAUGGUUUUAGAAUUGCUAACCUUCUUUUUGCAGAUGAUUGCCUAGUAUUUGGGAAGCUUCUUCUAAAGCUGCUAGAAACGUUCUGAGAAUCCUUAAUAAUUUUUCUGAGGCUUCUGAUCAAAGGAUUAAUUUCCAUAAAUCUUCUCUUUAUUUCUCCCCUCAGGUUCCUAAUCAAACUAGGAAUGAUAUUGUUACUAUUUUGCAGAUCCAACACAAAGCUACCAUUGGUAAGUAUUUGGGUGUCCACAACAUUGUCUUCUGGAAGGAUCCUGUUAAUGCUAAUGGUCUUCUUCAAAAAAUUAAUGAUAAGCUUGCAGGAUCGAAGAAAGGUUUGUUAUCUAGAGCUGGCAGGAUUACCCUUAUCCAAGCAAAUAUUUCUGGUAUGCCAAAUCAUAUUAUGUCGUGUUUUAAAUGUCCUGCUAAAAUUACUAAUGCUAUUGAUAAAAAAUCCCGAGACUUUUCUGGGGCUCUGAUUCUAAAUCUCAUGUUGUUGCUUGGAACAAAGCUUGCACCCCCAAGAAUGUUGGGGGUUUGGGUAUUAGACCUUCUGCUUAUUUUAAUAAUGCAGCGAUUGCUAAGUUGGGAUGGAAAGUCAUUACGGACUUUGAUAACUGGUGGGUGCAGAUUGUUACUUGAAACAGCGAUUGCUAAGUUAGGAUGGAAAGUCAUUACGGACUCUGAUAACUGGUGGGUGCAGAUUGUUACUUGAAAGUACUUACGCAGACACUCCUUUUUUCAGGGCAAACAGAAUAGAUCGGCCUCACUUGCCUAAAAGGGCAUUCUUAAUAAUAGAGAGAUUCUUUAGAAGGGAAUAAGAUGGAUAGUUGGAAAUGGUCAUGAUAUCAAUUUUUGGACCUUUAAUUGGGUUUUCCCUGUUCCUUUAGUUAAUAUGAUUUCUGAUUAUCAGAAAACUCCUAUUAAUUGGAAUGAGGUUGUUUCUGAUUAUAUCCAGGAUAGUAAUUGGAGUAGAACCAAGUUGCUAGAAUUUUUGGAUGCUUCAAUUGUGGAUCAAAUUUGUGGUAUCUCGUAUCCCUAUUCUUUCUACUAACCAACAUGAUGCUUUCAUUUGGGGCCCCCUGCCCGAAUGGUGAGUUCACUAUAAAAUCAACUACUUGGCUUCAAUCUUCAGAUCUUGAUCCUCAUGAUCAAUCUCCUCUUUUAAAGAAGGUUUAGGAGUCUAACUUGGCUUCUAAAAUAAAAAAAUUUAGCUGGCUUUAAUGUAGGGAAAGAUUAAAAACAAGGAACAUAUUAUUUAGGUUUGGUAUGAUCCAAACUAAUCUUUGUCCUCUUUGUAAUUUAGAGGAUGAAACUAUUUCCCAUAUUUUUUGCAAAUGCCCAAUUGCUGGCUAAGUUUGGACUAUUGCUCAGUGCAAUGACAUCCAUAAUGCUGAUAACCUGGUUCAAAGGUUGAAUGAUAUUUUUGUUAAUGCUCCUUUUGAUGCUACUAAGUUUGAGAGAAUUAUAACCCUUUGCUGGCAGAUUUGGCAUAAGCGCAACAACCUAAUCUUUAAAAAUGAGGUUUUCUCUACCUCUGUUGUUGUUGUUGUUGUUGCUGAUGCGUUUCAGAAUCGUAUUCAUCUUCACCAAGAGAUGGCUUCCCAGUCCCCCUUGGCUCCCUCUUCCAUCAGAUGGACUCCUCCUCCUCAAAAUAUAGUCAAAGUGAAUUUUGAUGGAUCGGUGCUUCAACAUGAUUCUAGUGCUGCUGCAGAUUUUAUUUUUCGAGACUGCUCGGAUUGCCCUUUGUUUGCUUCUGCUCGAAAGUUGGGGAAAGCCAUUGUUCCCAUUGCAGAAGCUAUGGCCCUUAGGGACAGCCUUUUAAAAGCCAACGAGUUAAACUACUCUCAUAUUAUGAUUGAAGGGGACUCUGCCCUCAUAAUUAAUUGUGUUACUGGGCGUUUCAAGUGCCCCUGAAAGCUGCUCCAAAUUAUCCAAGACAUCAAAAAGACUGCCUCUUUCUUCAGUUUGGUCUCUUUCCACCAUGUCCUUCGUGAGGCGAACUUUGCAGCUAAUGCCUUAGCAAAUCUAUGGCAAAAUCUGGAUACUCAGCAUUGUUGGGAGUCGAGCCGAGCUCUGUUAGGGUAGCAGUGAAUUUUGAUUUAUUUAGUGGUGGUUGCCCGAGGGGCGGCUCUUUGUAGUUUAGUCUUUUAGCUUCAAAAAAAAAUGUGUUUACGAAAGUUGAAGGGGCGAACUUAUUUAAAAAAAAAGUUGCAGAACUGAACUAAUUUUGACACCAAAGAUUUAUGGGGUAAACUGAAUUUUUUUCAUAUAUAUAUAUAUGUGUGUGUGUGUGUGAACUGUAUAUGCUUAUAUAAUGUUACAUAUUGAUCUUGAAAAUGAAGUUACCUUAAGAAGACUAUAUGUUUGUUUUGACUUGUUUGCAUUUGUGGUAUUUUUGACGUGUUUAUUAUUAAGAAACAAAACAAAGAUUAUAUAUACAUACAUACUAAUGAAAAUAUUUCUAUGUAUGUAUAAUAGACUACUAUAUAUCAUCAUGGUUGAUCCAAAACAAGUUGGGAAAAAAAGUGGGAAUUAUGAGCAGUAGACCAAGGAACAAAGCGAGGCUUUGUUAGAACUCAUGGUUGAAGCCGCAAUUAGGGGACGGUGUGACAUAGUGGCAUCUUAAGUAGGACAACAGUGGAAUAGAAAGAAUACUCACUAUGCCAAAAUAUUCAUCAGACGACAGACCUCUGUCGUCUGACAAUUUUUUUUAUGUCGUCUGAGGCUGUGUCGUGUGAUUGACCUCAGACGACAGUUUUCCACCGUCGUCUGAUAUAUGUUCAGACGACAUAAGUGUCGUCUGGAAGAAGCUGAAUCUGGAAGGUUUCAGAAAAAUAUGUCGUGUUAAUGGAUUACAUACAACAUAUAAAUGUCGACUGAAGCCAGAAUAAGGAAUAAAUUAAUGAUGUCUCAAUAGAAAACCAACAACAUAUAUAUGUCGUCUGAUGAAGCAAUUAUGUCAUCUGAUAGUCUAUUANNNNNNNNNNNNNNNNNNNNNNNNNNNNNNNNNNNNNNNNNNNNNNNNNNAAAGUCAAUAAACUUCAAUCUAAACUGAAAAAUAAUUACCCUAGAAUGAUGAGGACGAUGAGAGAAAGGAAACCAUACCAAGAGAAGUCGGGUUCGCAGCCUGAAAACCCAGAAAUCCGGCAGAAAACUCGAACCUUCUUGUCGUCGUUCCUCCUCCUACGGUCAGCGAUCGGAGAAACAAAGGCUAGAGGCGCAUCGGGGACCUCAAGGCGGUCCGGUCGGUGGUGGCCAAUCGCCGGGUAGCCACGGAUGGCGAGGCGGCGUCAGUGCUCGACAUCGACGUCGAGUUGGUGUCGAAGAGAGAGAUUGAGGUGGUCUAACUAGUUGACCGAGUUAGUCUCCUUACAUACUCUAGGGGUAGCGGUGGACUGAGGAGUUGGCCGGAGACCGUCCCCCGAUCGGCGAGGCAGUGGCCUAGGGAUUGAGGACCGACAUUGGGGUAGUUGCAGGUUGUUGAUUUGGGUUGGGUAUGGCUUAGUUUAAGCGGUGAAUCGAUUGGUGGAGCUGAUUGGGUGAGACGGUGGCCGGAGCUACCAUUUCCGACGCUGGCAGAGGAAAGCACAGAGAGAGAGAGAUCGAGAGAGAGAGAGAGAGAA
This 6476-nucleotide long non-coding RNA is filed under the name Fragaria vesca (wild strawberry). RNAcentral describes it as "long non-coding RNA (FVES_LNC001050)". Lineage: Eukaryota; Viridiplantae; Streptophyta; Magnoliopsida; Rosales; Rosaceae. The record is from RNAcentral.